GACGAACGCUGGCGGCGUGCUUAACACAUGCCAGUCGAACGGAAAGGCCCUGCUUGCAGGGUACUCGAGUGGCGAACGGGUGAGUAACACGUGGGUGAUCUGCCCUGCACUUCGGGAUAAGCCUGGGAAACUGGGUCUAAUACCGGAUAGGAGCCAUUUUUAGUGUGAUGGUUGGAAAGUUUUUUCGGUGUAGGAUGAGCUCGCGGCCUAUCAGCUUGGUGGUGGGGUAAUGGCCUACCAAGGCGGCGACGGGUAGCCGGCCUGAGAGGGUGGACGGCCACAUUGGGACUGGGAUACGGCCCAGACUCCUACGGGAGGCAGGAGUGGGGAAUAUUGCACAAUGGGCGCAAGCCUGAUGCAGCGACGCCGCGUGGGGGAUGACGGCCUUCGGGUUGUAAACUCCUUUCGCUAGGGACGAAGCUUUUUGUGACGGUACCUAGAUAAGAAGCACCGGCUAACUACGUG
This 465-nucleotide ribosomal RNA is filed under the name uncultured bacterium. RNAcentral describes it as "partial 16S ribosomal RNA". It matches the Rfam family "Bacterial small subunit ribosomal RNA", at positions 28 to 507 of the family's 1533-position model. The record is from RNAcentral.